AGGAGCUUUUCUUCUUCGGGCAAAGCUUGAGGAUCUGUUGGAGGGAGAGAACCAUCAUUGGUGCUGGGGAACAGUGAGGCAGGAAUGAUGCAAACUGCUCAAAGCAAAAAAGCUCUGCUCCCUGGUCUGAGCUGUACUAUCCUGAGUGAUGCAGGUGAGGACCUGCUGAGAAAUGGAAAGGCAUUGAGAUGUCCUGCUCCCGUACCUACAUCCUUGCAAAUGUAUCCCAAACAACAUUUCCAACAUUUCCCAAGGCUGCUGGAGCUGCUGGCCUGGGCAUUGGCCUGCAGCAGUGGGGCUGCAGGGCUCCUGCUCUUACCUGAAAGCCUCGAUGAGCCGCUCCACCUUCUGCGCCUCCCCCUGCACACGGAUGUGGGCCUGGAAUUU
Motacilla alba alba is the source of this 387-nucleotide long non-coding RNA. RefSeq lists it as uncharacterized. NCBI's taxonomy places the organism in Eukaryota, Metazoa, Chordata, Aves, Passeriformes, Motacillidae. The transcript is spliced from 3 exons. The record is from RefSeq and is a predicted model, not a curated record.